This 282-nucleotide unclassified non-coding RNA is filed under the name Hevea brasiliensis (rubber tree). Lineage: Eukaryota; Viridiplantae; Streptophyta; Magnoliopsida; Malpighiales; Euphorbiaceae. The record is from RNAcentral.
GUAUCCUUGCUGCACGGUGUAAUGGUGUUGGAUCUCUUUCAGCCUGCCCAGCAUCGAUAAGGGAUAGCAUAGCCCAACCAGUAUUGACAAUAUGUGGCCUAUCAUCCUUGAUAUUUGUGUACACCUUAUCCUGGCAGGAAAGAUAACUUUCUCCCCAGCCACCGGCAGCAAGCUCCUUAGACAACAGGAAAUCACAAGCUUUACGAAGACUAGAGCAGUUUUCAUAUCUCCUUCCAGCAGCGAUCAGACCCCUUAUCCCAAACCAACCACCAUAGGUGAAGC